This 468-nucleotide ribosomal RNA is filed under the name uncultured bacterium. RNAcentral's name for it is "partial 16S ribosomal RNA". It matches the Rfam family "Bacterial small subunit ribosomal RNA", at positions 28 to 507 of the family's 1533-position model. The record is from RNAcentral.
GACGAACGCUGGCGGUGUGCUUAACACAUGCAAGUCGAACGGUAAGGCCCUUUCGGGGGUACACGAGUGGCGAACGGGUGAGUAACACGUGAGUAACCUGCCCUCAUCUCUGGGAUAACAGUCGGAAACGGUUGCUAAUACUGGAUAUGAGCUUGCAAGGCAUCUUGUGGGUUGGAAAGAUUUUUUUUGGUUGGGGAUGGACUCGCGGCCUAUCAGCUUGUUGGUGAGGUAGUGGCUCACCAAGGCUUCGACGGGUAGCCGGCCUGAGAGGGCGACCGGCCACAUUGGGACUGAGAUACGGCCCAAACUCCUACGGGAGGCAGCAGUGGGGAAUAUUGCACAAUGGACGGAAGUCUGAUGCAGCAACGCCGCGUGCGGGAUGACGGCCUUCGGGUUGUAAACCGCUUUCAAUUGUGACGAAGCGUUUUUGUGACGGUAGCAGGAGAAGAAGCACCGGCUAACUACGUG